This 71-nucleotide transfer RNA is filed under the name Pangasianodon hypophthalmus (striped catfish). RNAcentral's name for it is "tRNA-Glu". The record is from RNAcentral. Lineage: Eukaryota; Metazoa; Chordata; Actinopteri; Siluriformes; Pangasiidae.
UCCCUGGAGGACUAGUGGUUAGGCCUCGGCGCGCUCACCAGUGCGGUCUGGGUUCGAUUCCGGCCAGGGAA